AAGCGGAUUAAGACACCAAGCAGAUUAUUGUUUAAGUCUGGUCCGCUAAGCAGCACGUCAUUCAGGGACACACCGUCAUGUUUGGCACUUGAAUCAAAAACCACUCUUAUUUGAUUUGGUUUUUUAGGGAUGAUAGACCUCGAACAGAGGUAAGUACCACCUUUCUUGAUGUUCCUCAAGUUCUGAUGCUAGUUCUGCGUGGUCAUUCUCAAAUAACUUUUCAUGAACUCUAGGAAGUGUUCUUUCAUGUCUGUGCGUCUUUGUUCUAGAGUUCGUCGGAGAGAUAAAAGUCGUCGCAGAGCCACCUCUCUGUUGUUUGGAAGAUGGUGGCGGGGUUUGCAGAAUGGCAGCGGUGCUACCCAAAAAGACGCUUAAGAGAAGCGAGAAAAUUACAAGAGAUAGAGAUAGAUUAACAUAGUGAGAAAAAAAUAAAUAAAUAAUAAAUAAAUAAAUAACAAAGGACACCCAGGAGAGAGCUAGGGAUUUUUUAGCAUUUCGAGAUCAUCUAUCCUUGUACAGAGUUUCACAGCAUUCUUUCCUUUCAUAUGUUUCAGAGAUGAAAAGUAACAGUACAAUUCUUUGUGAAAAGCAAAAAAUUUGGGAAUGGAUUUCAUAAAUCUGUUCUUACGUAUGAAGAAUUUUCCAAGUAUUACUAUGGAGUUGAUCAACAUAUUGUGACAGUUAUCUUUGACAAUAAAACCAUAUAAAACAUUUUCUUUCUUUAAAACAGGAACAGGCAGAUAUUUAGACAACCAAUGGAAUAAAUCACUCCAGAGGGCAUUGAUGUAAAUACAAUCAUAGAACAUAUGAUCUGUUGUUUCUGCGUUAUUGGUACAAAACACACAGUUCUUACAGUCAAAACCAAAUCUCUUAGAAAGAAACUCAGAAGAUGGAUAGAUUCCAUUUAGGACCUUGUAGUGCACUUCCUUAACCUUUGGCACAAUUGGAAAUUUAAAGAAAAAGGAUCUUAAACAUUCAGCGUCUUUUUUGGAAAAAAACCUGGAGAUUGAGUUGUAAGAUCUAGAGAACGGGUACAGUUCUUUGUUAAAUAUUUGUCUAAUAUCGAGGUUACUUAUUUUACCUUCAAACAAAUUACUCCCUUGUACCAAAAGCGAAGGAAGCUUUGGAGUCGAACAGUCUCGAUGCCGGUGAGAUAUCAUUAAAAGAACUUGCUUAGGUAUUGCAUUAAAAACUUUUUUAUAUUGCUGUUUGUCUAUAAUAUUAAAUUUAGCACAAAAAUCCUCGAAUGAGAGUAAGUUGCCAUUACAGUCCAGUAAAUGAGAAACAGACCAAAUGCCUUUAUCUAACCAGUUUUGUAUAAACAGAGAUUUACGAUUAUGUAAAAUAUACCUGCAGUUCCAAAUUGGGAUAUUGUGGGGACUAAAAUUAUGUUUGUAUAUCAUUUUCCAAUAAAACAGAGUUUGAUAAUGAAAUGAAGAGAUUUUAUAGUGAAAUAUCUUGAGGUCAUAGUCACAACUAAGGAGAAAUUUGAUGCCACCAAGUUUCAUAAAGAUAUUGUUGGGAAUGUGAAACCAAAUUUGUGUUUUUUUAUUUAGAAAUUGUUUUAACCAGUUGAUUUUGAUUGUACCAUCAAUGCAUUCAAAAUCAAUUGCCUUAACCCCGCCUUCUUCAUAGUUCCUAAUCAUUGUACUCUUUUUUAUAUAAUGCGUUUUACCUUUCCAGAUGUAGUUAAAGUUUGCUUGGUUUAUAGCUUUAAUUGCUUCCUUGGGAACUGACAAAGAUUGGGCUGGGUAGAUGAAGCGAGAGAUGGUUUCAGUUUUUGUAAGUAAUGUUCGCCCGAUAAUAGAUAGAUCUCUCUAAGACCAAGAGUUGAGAUGAACUUUACAUUUUUCCAAGUUCCCCCAGAUAUUGAGUUUGGUUAAUUGAUUCACGUCCUUUGUAAUUUGUAUGCCUAGAUACUUAACUGUUGUUUUCACAGGGAUGGAAUGAAUAACUGAGAGAUUACAAUCAUGAAUAGGUAGAAGUUCACAUUUAUUGAGAUUCAAUUUAAGGAUUUUUGGGAGUUGGUCGCUAUUUUCCAUAAAUAUGGCUGUAUCAUCAGCAAGUUGGCUAAUUGUCAGUUGUUGAUCAAAUAUUGUUAGUUUUUUAAAAUCUGAAUUUUUAAUAAGAAUGGAUA
Molecule: long non-coding RNA, 2137 nt
Organism: Cyprinus carpio carpio
Lineage: Eukaryota; Metazoa; Chordata; Actinopteri; Cypriniformes; Cyprinidae
Source: Ensembl